UCUGAAACUUUUUUUUUUUUUUUUUUUUUUUUUUUGCGGUACGUGGGCCUCUCACUGUUGUGGCCUCUCCCAUUGCGGAGCACAGGCUCCGGACGCGCGGGCCCAGCCGCUCUGUGGCAUUUUGGAUCUUCCCGGACCGGGGCACGAACCCACGUCCCCUGCAUCGGCAGGCGGACUCUCAACCACUGCGCCACCAGGGAAGCCCUAAAUCUGAAACUUUUAAACAGAGUUCCCUGGUUUUGUCAGCUUGCUUCCAUCUGAGAUUCCUGGCGGAAAGUCUCUGAACUUCCUGAACACGAGAGUUCUGAAGGUGCUCUGGGGCGCUGGCGGGAAGAGGACCUCGCCUCCUCGUUACACUUCAGUGUCAUCAAGCCGCAGACCCGAAUGCGAACACAUCAACAGGGGUUAUUACCUUCUUUUGACCACACAGGUAAGAAGAAAGAUUACUUCUAUUUUUUCUCUCAUUCUUCAGCUAAAUCAUGGUAUUUCAACUUCAGGCUGAUUUCUAAUUUCACAAAAAAUCCUAGUAAAUAUCAAGUCCAGAGAUCACCUUCAGAGCUUCUCUUCUAGUGGAACCCUGAGAGAGAAAAUCUCCACACCAGAGGGGAUGGUGUUUUACAAUGAGUUUGUUGACAACGGCAACACAAGAUGAUUAAGCAAGAGGACAUGUUUCAUAGGGAUUUCACCUACAGCCAUAAAUGUGGAGGUGCCUUCACUAAUCCCGACAAGUAAAGAAAUAUUUUUUUUUUAAAGAAAUAUUUCUUUGGCUUCCACCCAUCAGUCCAAUAACAAUGACGGGUCCUAACACUCUGGUAGUUUUAUACCUCUGACAAAUGUUUACCUAGGACUCUGGCCAAGCCUAUUAUUUUAGAUCUUUUUGAUCAUCUGCAGCGGCCUAAGAUUCAGUAAGCCUGGUAAACAGGUAAAUGGCUGCUCAAUUACUGAUAACCAGAGUAACUAUAAAUGAGUGGAAAAAAAGGCUGAUUUCAGAGAAGCCGGUUUCAUUUACCACUUUGCUUCUAAGAACUGGAGAAAAAGAAUAACCCAGGGAAUUCCCUGGCAGUCCAGUAGUGGUUGGGACUCUGUGCUUCCACUGCAGGGGCACGAGUGUGAUCCCUGGUACGGGAACUAAGAUCCCACAAGCCGGCAACAAAACAAAACAAAAUACAAAACAAAAAGAAUAACUAGCCCGAUAGCUCCAUUCAAAGGGAAAAAAAUGAAGGCCAAAGGUUACCGUUGAUUAGUUACAAGAAUCUCCAGGUGGCCCUAUGGCAGCCUAACAAGAUCUGCAAUUCCCAAAAAUACUUCUUUGGGUGUUUCCAUAGUAAGUAGUGACUAACAUACUUAAGGGAUUCUUAUGAGAGGUGCCCAAGGAGUCCGGCAGCUCUGUAGUCUGCGGACAGGUAAGCUAGGGUGACAGUACAGCACAGAGGUCAAGAACUGGGAUUCCAGAGUCAGACUGCCCAGGGCUGAAUCCAGACUCUCCUGAUUUCUAGUGGUGUGGCUUUGGGCAAGUUACUUAAUCCCUCUAUGCUUCAUUUCCUCAGCUUUAAAUCAAGAGUUAUCUGAAUGCCUACUUUAAGGUCUGAUAUGAGAAUCAAGUACAAAAACAUAAAGUGUCCAUUCAGCACCCUGCUCCUGCACAAAGUAAGCCCUCACAAAACGUUAGCUAUUAUUAACAUCACGCAGACCUGCUGACAAUACAGACUUGACCAGCUCUAGUCUAGUCAACACAGCUUGACUAAACCAGACUUGGCUACUUCGGAUCACUGGAAAACCUAAGCCCAAGUUAGAGGUUCUCUGGCAGGGCUGGGAAGACCCAACCCAGCAGUUUAGAGAGAAAUAAUCCACCUCGUGACCUGACCUUGGAAGCCUCCCCGCCCUUCACGCUGACCUCAAAUGUAGAAUCAACAAGAAAGGAAACUUACUGGGCCCCUACUAAGUGCCAGACACAGUGUGAGACUCUCUCGUGUUAUCUUUCAUCCGGUGAGGAAACGGGCGCACAUGCCGAGGACGUGCUUGGGGCAUCACUUGUUUCCUAGCUUAUUCCUGAGUUUAUUCCUAACCUGGGCCUCCGAAAUGAGGCUAUUUGCCCGGGAGACUCUUCCUUGAAUUUCUGGACAGCUGCACAAAAGGAGGACACAAGACUCCUGCCUCUGAGCCUGGACUCACUUCAGAGGCGGGAUGUCCCCAUGGAAGACUCAGGGACCGGACAAAGUCCUGGGGAGGUUUCCGGGUAGCCUUGACCUUGGUGCCUAAGAUUCGUUUCACACCCUGCGGGCUGGAGGCGAUGACACAGCCCCUUGGCCUGGGCAGCGUUGGAGCCUAAUUGAUGUCAGUCUGGUGCCUGCUGCUUGGUGCGUUGUUAAAGAUGUCUCGGUUACAUGAUGCAGUUAUCAAGAGGAGGUGGACAGGAGAGCUCCCAUGGUCUUGUAACCGGUUUGGUUCCUGCUGCCCUGUACCAAUUCUUCAUUAAUUCUCAGUAAGGUUUGUAGACAUUAAUUGGGCCAUAAUGCUCUGCUGGGUAGAGAAGUCCUUUGCCAUCUUCCCUCUGCUUUGGAAAACACUGCCUCUAGGAAUUACUUGAACGGAACGUAACAUAUGUCUCAGAACGCCCAGGUCUGUGUUGCUAUGAUCGAGAAUGACCUGGUUUUUAUCACCACUCUAACAAAAUAAAUAGUGACUCAGGGAUGCUCUGCGUUUUUGUCCUCUCUUGGGCCCACAGUAUUUUGUAUUAUGGUUACUUGGAAAGUGGUUGUGAAAAAUGGGAAAUAAACUUGG
Long non-coding RNA from Physeter macrocephalus (sperm whale), 2781 nucleotides. RefSeq lists it as uncharacterized. The transcript has 3 exons. NCBI's taxonomy places the organism in Eukaryota, Metazoa, Chordata, Mammalia, Artiodactyla, Physeteridae. The record is from RefSeq and is a predicted model, not a curated record.